UGGGGAAUUUUGGACAAUGGGGGAAACCCUGAUCCAGCCAUCCCGCGUGUGCGAUGAAGGCCUUCGGGUUGUAAAGCACUUUUGGCAGGAAAGAAACGUCAUGGGUUAAUACCCCGUGAAACUGACGGUACCUGCAGAAUAAGCACCGGCUAACUACGUGCCAGCAGCCGCGGUAAUACGUAGGGUGCAAGCGUUAAUCGGAAUUACUGGGCGUAAAGCGUGCGCAGGCGGUUCGGAAAGAAAGAUGUGAAAUCCCAGAGCUCAACUUUGGAACUGCAUUUUUAACUACCGGGCUAGAGUGUGUCAGAGGGAGGUGGAAUUCCGCGUGUGGCAGUGAAAUGCGUCGAUAUGCGGAGGAACACCGAUGGCGAAGGCAGCCUCCUGGGAUAACACUGACGCUCAUGCACGAAAGCGUGGGGAGCAAACAGG
RNAcentral lists this ribosomal RNA (429 nucleotides) under Acidobacteriota bacterium. Its description in RNAcentral is "Acidobacteria bacterium partial 16S ribosomal RNA". It matches the Rfam family "Bacterial small subunit ribosomal RNA", at positions 355 to 776 of the family's 1533-position model. The record is from RNAcentral. Lineage: Bacteria; Pseudomonadati; Acidobacteriota.